Molecule: ribosomal RNA, 444 nt
Filed under: uncultured soil bacterium
Lineage: Bacteria
Description: bacterial SSU rRNA
Rfam family: Bacterial small subunit ribosomal RNA
Source: RNAcentral
AGAACGAACGCUGGCGGCAUGCCUAACACAUGCAAGUCGAACGAGACCUUCGGGUCUAGUGGCGCACGGGUGCGUAACGCGUGGGAACCUGCCCUUAGGUUCGGAAUAACUCAGAGAAAUUUGAGCUAAUACCGGAUAAUGUCUUCGGACCAAAGAUUUAUCGCCUAUGGAUGGGCCCGCGUAGGAUUAGCUAGUUGGUGGGGUAAAGCCUACCAAGGCGACGAUCCUUAGCUGGUCUGAGAGGAUGAUCAGCCACACUGGGACUGAGACACGGCCCAGACUCCUACGGGAGGCAGCAGUGGGGAAUAUUGGACAAUGGGCGAAAGCCUGAUCCAGCAAUGCCGCGUGAGUGAUGAAGGCCUUAGGGUUGUAAAGCUCUUUUACCCGGGAUGAUAAUGACAGUACCGGAGAAUAAGCUCCGGCUAACUCCGCGCCAGCAGCCGC